Molecule: long non-coding RNA, 799 nt
Organism: Halichondria panicea
Lineage: Eukaryota; Metazoa; Porifera; Demospongiae; Suberitida; Halichondriidae
Exons: 2
Source: RefSeq, a predicted model, not a curated record
AACGCUUUUUCGCUUUUUAACAUUAAUUUUGUUGUUCAUUUUUCAUGGAUAAAGUAACGAAGAGGAGAGUUGAAAGUCUGUAGGGAAGGAGCUUUGUAUAAUAUCUAUUUGCAGUUUGUUCGUUUAUAUAUACAGUCAUUAUGCCGGCAUGCGCAAGGUAUACGGUAGUGUGUCUGUGUGUGUGUAGAUCGACUGUUACAGCUGCUCGAUGAUAAAUGAAGCUCAAAGAGUUUCUGUAUAAUUAUUGUAGGCUGCUAAUCAUAAUUAUUUCUUGAAUUGCAAUUAGUUGGCUUUGCAAAAUAAUGCUUACGGUUAUGUUUGCUUACUUUGAAAGCUAGUACAACGUACUUGUGUGUAGCAAAAUAGGGGAAUAACGAGAGAAUGAAGUAAAAUAAAAAGAAUUAAGCAUUAUCCACCAGGACCGAUGAAUCCAUCUAAAAUGUUGUAAAUUAUAUGUGCAGUGUAUUCAUUAAUAAUGGUACUGCAUGUAGCUUCAUUGCCUACACUGAGGCAUCAUCACCCUUUCAGUAACAUUCAUUUUUUUCUCAGGUCGCGUUGAAGGACACUUUGAAGGACUGCGACUGCCUUUGCUUGUUGACAGUCUCCCUGGGUACAUCAUCAACCUAUGUAGAAAAUGUAAGUAUUACUUCUCAGUGUAUCUAGCAAUUAUCCUAUUAUAUCCCUAGCUCUUUGCUGGAGGGAGGAGAGCCUCAUUGUCUGGUGGCAUGCACUCCACUUGCCCUAUUAAAAUGAAUCGAACUUUCAGUGAAUUUCCACAAUGGCACAGUUUCAAUACCGU